This 539-nucleotide long non-coding RNA is filed under the name Trifolium pratense (red clover). RNAcentral's name for it is "long non-coding RNA (TPRA_LNC010999)". Lineage: Eukaryota; Viridiplantae; Streptophyta; Magnoliopsida; Fabales; Fabaceae. The record is from RNAcentral.
AUUUUAGAGGGAUCGAUCAGAUUCAACUCCUGUCCUCUCGAUAUCAAUUUUUGUAUCGAAUCAAUCUACAUAAAAUUUUGUUCUAACUUAAAUUGAGUCUCGCAAUAGUAGACAGUGAGAUUGAUUCCUUAGAUUGUACAAGAUGAUGGAGCAGAUCCUCUCUCUUUAAAAUGUCGUCUAGUGAGAUCUGGAUUAUUGAUUUUUUUUUUUUUGUGUUGAAUCUUGAUAGACAAAAUAUUAAAAAGAAAUUUAAUAGCGUGGAUUUGCACUAGAAUUCUCACGGGAGAGAUCCUCCCCAUAAGAUGAUUGGAUGCCAUGUCCACACACUAACUUUCUAACAAUUACCAACAAUUGCUACCUAAUUUUGAAUUAAACUUUUGGAGUUGAAAUCCUGAAUUUCAUUUUUCUUUUCUAAAGUUUCUUUUAUUGUUUCCUUAAUAAGAAAAACUCUUAAAUUGAACAUUGAUUUUCAUUUUUUUUAAUUUUUUUUACAUAAUAAUAAAAUCGAAGUCUUGUUGGUAAGUAUUUUAAUAUAGGAA